Molecule: ribosomal RNA, 378 nt
Filed under: Triticum aestivum (bread wheat)
Lineage: Eukaryota; Viridiplantae; Streptophyta; Magnoliopsida; Poales; Poaceae
Description: partial small subunit ribosomal RNA
Source: RNAcentral
AUGAUUAUCCUUGCCUGGAACUGCCGAGGCUUGGGGUUGGACUCGGCCGUUGGCGAGCUUCGGGACCUGAUUAGGUCAUACAACCUAGAGGUGGUGUUCUUAUCAGAAACAAAGAAGAGAUCCGGAGCGAUGGAUAGACUCAAGUGGAGUUUGGGGUUUACCAAAGGGGUAGCGGUGUAUUGCAAAGGCAAGAGUGGAGGUUUAGCACUAUGGUGGAGGGACCAUGUUGAUAUUAUAGUUAGGGCGUGGUGCCAAUAUUACAUUGAUGCGGCCAUUGCGUGUGAUGGUGCCUCCUUUAGGUUCACUGGAAUCUAUGGAGAGCCAUGCAUUGACAAAAGAACGAAGACGUGGGAGGCAAUACGCUAUCUUCGUGCCUAG